RNAcentral lists this ribosomal RNA (467 nucleotides) under uncultured bacterium. RNAcentral's name for it is "partial 16S ribosomal RNA". It matches the Rfam family "Bacterial small subunit ribosomal RNA", at positions 28 to 507 of the family's 1533-position model. The record is from RNAcentral.
GAUGAACGCUGGCGGCGUGCUUAACACAUGCAAGUCGAACGGAAAGGCCCAAGCUUGCUUGGGUACUCGAGUGGCGAACGGGUGAGUAACACGUGGGUGAUCUGCCCUGCACUUCGGGAUAAGCCUGGGAAACUGGGUCUAAUACCGGAUAGGACCACAUUUUGGAUGGUUUGGUGGAAAGUUUUUCGGUGUGGGAUGAGCUCGCGGCCUAUCAGCUUGUUGGUGGGGUAAUGGCCUACCAAGGCGUCGACGGGUAGCCGGCCGGAGAGGGUGUACGGCCACAUUUGGACUGAGAUACGGCCCAGACUCCUACGGGAGGCAGCAGUGGGGAAGAUUGCACAAUGGGCGCAAGCCUGAUGCAGCGACGCCGCGUGGGGGAUGACGGCCUUCGGGUUGUAAACUCCUCUCGCUAGGGACGAAGCGUUUUUGUGACGGUACCUGGAGAAGAAGCACCGGCUAACUACGUG